GAAACUCAAAAGUCUACAUGUAAAAGCCAUUGGAAUGUAAUAGAGAGGUUCUAAUUUCUAAUUGGAACAAAGUUGGAAUUACAGCCUUGCUACUCCCUUGCUGUGCAACACUGUGCGAGUGGCCUUAGUUUGCUACCUUCAAAACAGAAAAGGAAAAGACUAGAAGGUUUUGAAUUCUUUCAUUUCAAAGAAUUGGACUAUGAGAUGCUCUGUGUCCUUUCUAGGUCUUGAAUUUUUUUAUCAGGAAUAGGUGAAGAAUGAUA
Long non-coding RNA from Perognathus longimembris pacificus (Pacific pocket mouse), 263 nucleotides. RefSeq lists it as uncharacterized. The transcript has 2 exons. The record is from RefSeq and is a predicted model, not a curated record. NCBI's taxonomy places the organism in Eukaryota, Metazoa, Chordata, Mammalia, Rodentia, Heteromyidae.